GUGCCAGCAGCCGCGGUAAUACGUAGGGGGCAAGCGUUGUCCGGAUUUACUGGGCGUAAAGCGCGUGUAGGCGGAAGCGAAAGUCCGGUGUGAAAGCCCCCCGCUCAACGGGGGAAGGUCGCUGGAAACUGCGCUUCUUGAGGGCGGCAGAGGGAAGUGGAAUUGCUGGUGUAGCGGUGAAAUGCGUAGAGAUCAGCAGGAACACCCGUGGCGAAGGCGGCUUCCUGGGCCGCGCCUGACGCUGAGACGCGAAAGCGUGGGGAGCGAACGGGAUUAGAUACCCCGGUAGUCC
This 292-nucleotide ribosomal RNA is filed under the name uncultured bacterium. RNAcentral describes it as "partial 16S ribosomal RNA". It matches the Rfam family "Bacterial small subunit ribosomal RNA", at positions 505 to 796 of the family's 1533-position model. The record is from RNAcentral.